CCUACGGGCGGCAGCAGUGAGGAAUAUUGGUCAAUGGGCUUACGCCUGAACCAGCCAAGUCGCGUGAGGGAAGACUGCCCUAUGGGUUGUAAACCUCUUUUGUCAGGGAGCAACGCCGGCUACGUGUAGCCGGACUGAGAGUACCUGAAGAAAAAGCAUCGGCUAACUCCGUGCCAGCAGCCGCGGUAAUACGGAGGAUGCGAGGGUUAUUGGGAUUUAUUGGGUUUACGGGGUGCGUAGGCGGAAUGCCAAGUCAGCGGUAAAAUCGCGGGGCUCAACCUCGCUCCGCCGUUGAAACUGGCGUACUUGAGUGGGCGAGAGGUAUGCGGAAUGCGUGGUGUAGGAGUGAAAUGCAUAGAUAUCACGCAGAACACCGAUUGCGAAGGCAACAUACCGGCGCACAACUGACGCUGAGGCACGAAAGCGUGGGUAUCGAACAGGAUUAGAUACCCGAGUAGUC
RNAcentral lists this ribosomal RNA (460 nucleotides) under uncultured bacterium. Its description in RNAcentral is "partial 16S ribosomal RNA". It matches the Rfam family "Bacterial small subunit ribosomal RNA", at positions 338 to 795 of the family's 1533-position model. The record is from RNAcentral.